This 206-nucleotide unclassified non-coding RNA is filed under the name Hevea brasiliensis (rubber tree). The record is from RNAcentral. Lineage: Eukaryota; Viridiplantae; Streptophyta; Magnoliopsida; Malpighiales; Euphorbiaceae.
GAGAUUUUAUCUAUGCUUUUGGAGCGAUCUAUGGAUCCAGAUGUUGUGAAUCGUCACAAACAGACUCCGCUUAUGCUGGCUGCGAUGCAUGGCAAAAUAGCUUGUUUGAAAAAGCUAAUCGAAGCUGGAGCAAAUAUUUUAAAGUUUGAUUCACUUAAUGAAAGAACUUGCUUGCACUAUGCUGCUUACUACGGCCAUUCUGAUUG